CAACUUCCACCUGGCUUACCUCCNUCAUUUAUGCGUCAUGACUUGUAUCGUCUUGAGCGUAUUGUGGGUUUCCUGUGUUGCAUACCUUUCUAAUGGUAKCGUUUUGAUUGAUCGAAGUCCCUUUUCAUCUUGUGUUGCUUUUUGCGACGCAUGAUGAACCUCUAGGCGGUCUCUAUGUUCCACUACGUUGAUGCUACUGUUUCGAUGUUGUGGCCCAUUGAGYGUUGCUUGGUUUUGUGGAUACAGAACAUGAUUUGGGCAUAGGGUUACUUGUGACUCUUGUUCUGUCCUUUAUCAGUGUUCUUUAUAACGACGGUUCAUGCGCGCCUAGGCUCGUACCUGCGCGAUGUUCUUUGUCGAAGAGGAAUGCUACCUGGUUGAUCCUGCCAGUAGUCAUAUGCUUGUCUCAAAGAUUAAGCCAUGCAUGUGUAAGUA
RNAcentral lists this unclassified non-coding RNA (435 nucleotides) under Senecio carnosulus. RNAcentral's name for it is "partial contains external transcribed spacer and 18S ribosomal RNA". The stretch from base 371 to 435 matches the Rfam family "Eukaryotic small subunit ribosomal RNA", at positions 1 to 65 of the family's 1831-position model. Lineage: Eukaryota; Viridiplantae; Streptophyta; Magnoliopsida; Asterales; Asteraceae. The record is from RNAcentral.